Vidua chalybeata is the source of this 670-nucleotide long non-coding RNA. RefSeq lists it as uncharacterized. The record is from RefSeq and is a predicted model, not a curated record. The transcript is spliced from 2 exons. Lineage: Eukaryota; Metazoa; Chordata; Aves; Passeriformes; Viduidae.
CCAAGUUCACUGAGCUUGUCAGGUCACUGGUAAGUCCAAAAAGUCUGGAGCCUGCUUGGCUACAGGAGGCCCAGGGCACCCAGGUGGGUGAGCAAAGCCCCCUGGUGCAUCAGUGCAUUUCAAAGCCAGCUGCCCUUCACAGGGACCUGAUAGGAAUGGCAGAGGGCAGGCAGAGGCUGCCAAAGGCUUUAUCAGAACACCCAACACAAGUCAGUACAGUGGCCUGGCUUCAGAAGUUUUUAGCAAGGAGCUGGCUCAGUUAUUUCUACAGUCCUUCUUAAUGAAGCACAAAUAGCACACAGAUGUGCUUGCAUCCUUUCAGGGACAAGGUGGAGUUUUACUCCUCAAAGCAACCGGCACAGAACGAUAACCCAUUCCCACCUCUUGCCCUGGCACCUGGGAACUGAGAUCAACAGUGAACACUGGAGGCACAGCAGAUGGUGUCAAGCUUUCCAGAUAGCCAUGGUGCAGCCCUGCUCUCUCCUCGGGUUUCUUCAUCCCUGGCAGAGGUGACCUUGAGGAAGCAAAGCCUCGGGUCCCCAUCCCCAUGGCCACCACAGCUCACGGCAGAGACGCCGACGUCCCCCGGCUCGCCACAGAAGCUCUCUUCCACAUGACAGCAGCUCAGCAACCUCAAGGCAAAAUUAAAUCUCUCUCCCUUCUGCCUGCA